AGUUCAGUGCCAGAUACCUCUGAACCAACUAACAAUGGAUAAGUUUUUCUUUUUCUUUUUCUUUUUGUAGCAAUUUUUUACAAUUCUUUGGUUUAAAUGACUUUGUGAUGGUCACCUAUACCGGAGUUGCCUUUUUUCUUUUAUUUAUUUAUUUAUUUAUUUUUGUUUUUCUGGAUCAUUCACUUAUUUGCAUCGGUCCCCUACGUCGAGGAUGCGUAGGCCGGAGUUGACUGCUGAGAUAAACUACUGAGGACUUAUACGGAAAUGAUGAUUAAGGCCAUGGUAUAUGGGGUUUUGGGAGUGGUUCCUAUAUUUACGAAGUCUAUGGCGCUAAAAUAAUACUGAUGUUUCG
RNAcentral lists this long non-coding RNA (352 nucleotides) under Lathyrus oleraceus (garden pea). RNAcentral's name for it is "Pisum sativum (pea) long non-coding RNA (PSAT_LNC001293)". Lineage: Eukaryota; Viridiplantae; Streptophyta; Magnoliopsida; Fabales; Fabaceae. The record is from RNAcentral.